This is a non-coding RNA of Oryza sativa Japonica Group (Japanese rice), 796 nucleotides long. The record is from RefSeq and is a predicted model, not a curated record. Lineage: Eukaryota; Viridiplantae; Streptophyta; Magnoliopsida; Poales; Poaceae.
AUUCGUUUUGGAUGGCUCAGAUGCACGGUAUGUCAUCCGGUGACUUGCCAUAGCAAUGUCACCGAAGCUGAAUCGAGGAUCAUGGCAUGCGCAAUCAGCGGAAUUCCUGACACCAAAUAGGCCGGUGCAAACUGCAAAACUCCAAACCGCUACCCAUUUUAAGAACCCACUAGACAGAACCCGGAAAAGCUAAUUCAUCAGUCGACAGGGCAAACUUUAAAUCCUGACAAAAACCUUUUCUUUAUACCACCACCCCAUCCCAUGUGCUCCACACUUAUCUGCAUUUCCCUCCAGCCUAUUUGUCCCUUUGCUCUUGCUUACUCUAGUAUACUCCUACUUCCCAGCCUUUAUAGCCUUCUGCCUUCUUCCUCACCUCACAUAUUUUUUUUCUUGGACUUCUUGGCGAUGGAUCCCCCACCGGCUCAGGCGAUGAACACCGACGACUUCACGGACAAGACCAUGGAUGAAUGUUGUUCUUGCUGCUACGAUUGCUGCUCCAGCAUCCUGGAUUUCCUCUGCUGUUCUUGAUGCUGCCCCUCGUCAACCUUGCAGAAACUUCAUGGGUGCUGACGAUGAGUGAAUCAGAAGUCUCGGUGAUAUAUUUUGGGCUGUACAAGUUAUUGAAUUCUUAGAUUAAUUCUUCCUCCCUUGCGUUGUAACUGAGAUUUGUGCGUCACUUUAUGGAUGAUUUUGGGAGGAAAUUUGUGCACUAUCAAGUUCUGAAACAUCGAUUUGUCUUCCAGCCUUUUGCGGUAUCCCUGAAGUGUUGUAUAUGGUAUGAAAAUCUCUUGAGUUC